RNAcentral lists this ribosomal RNA (554 nucleotides) under uncultured bacterium. Its description in RNAcentral is "bacterial SSU rRNA". It matches the Rfam family "Bacterial small subunit ribosomal RNA", at positions 102 to 674 of the family's 1533-position model. The record is from RNAcentral.
ACGGGUGAGUAACACGUAGGUAACCUACCCUUCAGUGGGGGACAACAGAGGGAAACUUCUGCUAAUACCGCAUACGAUCACGGACUGGGAUGUUCGUGGUGAAAGGAUUUAUUCGCUGAGGGAUGGGCCUGCGGCCUAUCAGGUAGUUGGUGGGGUAAUGGCCUACCAAGCCUGCGACGGGUAGCCGGACUGAGAGGUCGAUCGGCCACACUGGAACUGAGGCACGGUCCAGACUCCUACGGGAGGCAGCAGUGGGGAAUAUUGCACAAUGGGGGAAACCCUGAUGCAGCGACGCCGCGUGGAGGAUGACGGCCUUCGGGUUGUAAACUCCUUUUGUCGGGGACAAUGGUGAUGGUACCCGACGAAUAAGCCACGGCUAACUCUGUGCCAGCAGCCGCGGUAAGACAGAGGUGGUGAGCGUUGUUCGGAAUUACUGGGCUUAAAGGGCGCGUAGGCGGUGGUGUAAGUCUAGGGUGGAAUGCUACAGCUCAACUGUAGAGCUGCCUUGGAAACUGCAUUACUUGAGUCGGUGAGGGGAAGGUGGAAUUCCAGGU